GCCAACAUGGUGUAGUGGUCUGAAUGUUGGACUAUGAUUCUGGAGACCAGGGUUCAAAUCCCAACUUAGCCA
Molecule: non-coding RNA, 72 nt
Organism: Phrynosoma platyrhinos (Desert horned lizard)
Lineage: Eukaryota; Metazoa; Chordata; Lepidosauria; Squamata; Phrynosomatidae
Source: the annotation of a GenBank genome assembly